Ailuropoda melanoleuca (giant panda) is the source of this 8789-nucleotide long non-coding RNA. RefSeq lists it as uncharacterized. The transcript has 4 exons. The record is from RefSeq and is a predicted model, not a curated record. NCBI's taxonomy places the organism in Eukaryota, Metazoa, Chordata, Mammalia, Carnivora, Ursidae.
ACGGAGAAAGUUGUUGUGUGCGUGUGUGUGUGUUUUUAACAGACAUAAACUAAUACAUUCUGAUUUUGGUUUAAGACCUGGCACGUGAAAGCUGUUGCCUGGUUUUUAUUGUAUCAGAGUGCUACUGAUGUUUUCUCAGGAGAGCUAAAAUUCAGGGUUUCUACAUGGUUUCCCGUUACAACUCCAUUGCUCCAGGCUAAAGACCAGUUGUGGUCCAGAAACUGGGGUGCUGUCUCCCAAGCGUUAAGUCGUAGAGAUGCCUAAAAUGUCUGCUUGCCAUUGUCUAUGGUGGGUUGUGGUUGUGAACUUCACCUAAGCAGCUGGGGCCAGAAUGGGGAGAGACCUAUGAAGUUACUACUUGUCUUUGUGGACAGAAGACAUGUCAAUGUCCCAGAGUACUGAGAAGUCAACUGCUUCUCUCCUUUCUUUCCUUAGCAAAAGGAAAUGCUGGACGAGGAGAGGAUGAUGAGGCACCUAAUUGUGGAUAGGAAAACCCAAGGCUUAAGGAGACAAGGAACCCCUGAUGGGAAAAAAAUGUUUUAGCUUCCUUUAUCAUUGCUAAAUAAAAUGGAAAAGAGAGUUCUCCGUUUCCAGGCUUGGGAAGUGACUUGUCGACCCUGCCCUGAGAGCCUGCUCGAGAAGGUUGGCAAACGCUCCUCGUCCUGCUGUGAAUCCCUCAGGCUUGUGAGGGACGACAGAUGGUUGAGCUAAACUCGGAGCCACCCCUCUACAUAAUGAAGAAAAAUGACCAGCCUCCUGAGAACCCUGACUAAUGCGCCAUGAGAGCACACGCGAUGGGGAGAGUGAAGAGGAAAGAACACUGAGACGUAAUGCUGUUUAAAGGGUGUGAAGAAGAGGAGGGAUGUUAGUGACUCCUGAGUAGCAUCACCCGUUUCAAGAAUAUCCGUGCCGACAGCCCGAUUGAAAUUGACGUAAAUGUGUGAGAAGAGGAAGAGGAACGUGAUCAUAUUGUGUAGGCCAGUCAUCUCCGCCAGGCUUGGUCUUACGAAGAUCAUCAAAGAAGGUGGGUUGAUGCCAAGUGACAAGUCAGUUGCUGACAUGCCUGUGUGCACAACAUAGACACGUGCACAGUGCAGCCCUCAGCCACACAGUCUUGGGCUACACUAGCUGAACUCUUGCCUUUUUUUUUUUUUUAAGAUUUUAUUUAUUUAUUUUAGAGCGAGAGAGAGUCCACAUGUGCGAGCAAGGGGAGGAGCAGGGGGAGAAGGACAAACAGACUCCCUGCUGAGCGCAGAGCCCAAUGCGGGUCUCAAUCCACCCCAAAAUCAUGACCUGAGCUGAAAUCAGGAGUCAGACGCUUAACUGGCUGCACCACCCAGUGCCCCUGAACUCUGCUUUGAAGGAUCAGUUUGGGAGAGAAGAAUUCAAGCAAAUAUUCCAUCCUGCUUUGCCUAGCUCCUGACUAGCCUCCAUGUUUGGAAGGAAGGAAGAGUGUGGUAUAGAGCAACGGGAGUAAGGCGUCAACCAUGGCAGCCAGUCCUCCUCUUCGGCUCACUGGCACCAAGACAGCGGCUCAGAGUUCUUCCUUAUGCUGAAUUCACUGUCUCUUCUUUGGAUGGGGAUGUCAUCUGCCUAAACUGUGUGGAUUGCAUAUGUUAUCAUGGGCCGGUGCUAAAGGAGGUCAGACAGGAAGACAAAGGCAGAGCGAGACCUCAACUCUUAAAACAUCAGUGCACUCUUGGGCAAGUGACUUCAGUUCUCCGUGUCUUACUUUCCUCUGUUAAAUGAAGGCUUUGGUGUAGACUCCUCAUUUGUCCCCACUGUGAUGUCAGAAAAUAUGUGUGAGACUUAAUAGAGUGUGUUCACGCAUGCACACAUACGAAUGUAUUCCUACAUCUGUUUCACAAACAUCCAGUUCUCACUAAUCUGAAGUUACCUAAACAAGGUCACAAUAAGGCCAUGGUCUCUUUAUUUGCUGAGUCACAAAGGAUCUUAACCUCCACCUGUUCCCCAGAUUUCCCCGGGGUCCCCCAGGCUUGCAACACUUGUAAGAAGGAGUUCUCCUCCUUAUUUGUUGCCUCUUUCCAGGAGAAUUGAAAAUCUGACACAGCCCUUAAGGCUGCCUGCCAUAAAUGUGGACAUCUGGGCAAGUAAUGAGAUUCAUGCCGGAACCUUGGAAGUCCUGCUUUCCCAGGGCCUUGCUUGAGUCCCCGGAGACCUAAGUGUACGUGUGCACAGCUUCUCUCUGUGGAUGUGGCCCUAUUAACCAUCCCGCAUCAUUUCCAACCUCUGACCCCUUCAGGCACACUGCUGUAGCCACCCUGGCCUCUUUGCUGUUCUUGACCAUGCCAAGCAUACUCCCACCUUAGGGCCUUGGGACUUGCUGUGUAUUCUGCAUGGAGUAAUGGCUACUCUUGUCCAGUAUCAUAUAGUAGUUCUUUCAUUUCUCUUAGGUCUCUGCUUACGUGUCACUUCCGUAGAGAAGCAUUUGCUGAAGACCCCAUAUAAAAUAACAACCUAAGUAUCUUUUUUUCAUACCUGGCUUUAUUUUCUUCAUGGUAUACCUGGCAUUGUUCUUUUUGGCUAUUGGCUAUCUCUGCAGGCUAGAAUGUGAGCUCCAGGGGUCCAGGGGUACUGUUCAGCGCUCUGUCCUCAGCACCUGGAACAGUACCUGGCCCAGGGCAGGUGGGUAAUACAUGUUUUUCAAAUGAAUGAAAGUCUAAAUGAGCAAACAGGGUGCAUGUGUAGCUCCAAGAGUUGUCUCUCUGGGUGAUACACUCUUUCACCUCAUUUGUGUCAUAAUUGAGAAAGAAAAGAGUCCCAUUUUUGUGGAGUUUAUAUUCUAGUGGUAGAGGCAGAUUUUGUAAGUACGUACAGUCUUGGGGAGCCUGGGCAGAGCCGUCAGUGAAGCAUUCAGCUCUUGGUUUUGGCUCAGGUCAUUAUCUCACAGUCGAGCCCCACAUUGGGCUCCGUGCUCGGCAUGGAGUCUGCUUAAUAUUCUCCCACUCCCUCUCCCCCUCCCUCUGCACUCCCCCCUUGCAAAUAAAGUAUGUACCUUCUUUAAUUUCAGAUGUCAGCAAGUGCUUUGAAGAAAAUAAAGCAGAGAAAUAGGAAAGCGUGGCUGGGUGGGAAUGACGGAAAUUCUCUUAACAUGGGGUGGAGAGCAAAGGCCUCCGGGCAGGUGAAGAACUGGGGGAAUUGCAUGUGUAAAGCCGCCGAGGUUGGAAUACGUUUAGUGUAUUUGAGCAACACAGAGCAAGCGUGGCUGGAGCUUAGUGAAUGGGAAGGAAAGCACUAGGAGUUUGGCUGGGGGCCUGGAGGUCCAGUCAUUUAGGAUCUUGCAGGCCACGGUGAGGUUAGACUUUAUUAUAUGGGUCAUGAGAAGUCAUCCUUGGAACCACCAGAAGUGGUACCCAUUUCAGGAUACAUAGCGUGUACCUUGCCUGUAAGUCCCCUGUACUUGCCACAGCUCUGGGGUCUGGUUACAUAAUCAAGGGCCCCGCCUUCUGGAGAAUCUCUUUUCUGAGCAUGCAUGAUGUCCUUUUCCAUCAUCUGUUUUUGGUUACAAGACAGUCCAUCACACAAGUUUUUAAAUAAAUAUUUUUGACAUUCACCUGGGGAGAGUCAAGGUCCCAUUCCUCAUUUCCCCCUUAAUACCAAUGCAUAAGGAAGGAGAUGAUACUUCGGGGUCUGUACUGCAGACCAUGCCCUUGAACUGCUUAAAAUGUUAGUUUGUGCUUAUAUAAAACGUUCUCUGUCUCUCUCUUGCUCUCUUGGGUCUAAAUGUCUGUACGUCUUCUGCUUUUCUGGUAGAAGACCCUUUUUACUUCCUGCAUUGGAUUUUUAGUGUAAGACUGCUUAUAUUCGUCUACUGGUUCAGCAAAUUUCCAUGAUUUUAAGCCACUGAUAAGAACUUUCUGGCACAGGAAUUCUAGAGAUGUACAAUUUAUGGAAUCUCAGGUUUGGAAAAAUCCUUAAAGAUUUCCACCUUUAAAUGCUGUUUCUAGUAGGAACAGGUGAUUGGGGUAACCAUUUUGCUUAUUUCUUAAAAUCUUGUUAGGCCUAUACUUUAAUAGUCUUUCAGGUGGUUGACCCAAAUCCAAUGCAUUAUAGCCAACUGCCCAGUGGCAAAUGUGGCUGAAGUGGCCUGGCAUUAAACCAGAAUAGUGGUAACUCUUUCCAAAUCUACAGGGGAAAAAUUACCAUUUUAGAGAAAAUAAUUUCCUUAAAAUCUUCUCCCAAAAUUCAUUCUUAAACUUUGAUGCCCACUACCACUUGUCUGUCUGGUAGCAAGCGCUAGCAGAUGACCAAAGAAAUGAACAAACAGCAAAUGAAUAUUAAUGGAAAAAUUCUGAAACAGUUGAUCAUGCCUGGUUUGACAGCUUGUUUCUUUGUGGACAUGUGGGCUCCCGGUUCCACAUAUAGAAUUUUUCUCCUAGUAAAAUUGUGCGUGCUUCAUCUGAUGGAGCUCUCACUACGGUGAUAUUUUAAGGUGGUUGGCAGAGCAGGGCGUUUUGCAAAGAGCAUUCUUUAUUCCAGGUUCUCCUUUUUCAUAACUUUGAGAACCAUUCCGUUUCAGGGAUCAGCUGAGGUCUCUUAGGAAGUCCCCAAAUCAGCUUCUGCCUCUCAGCCACCAGAACUUUAGAAUGUUUUUGCCAGUUUUUAUAAGACUAUGUGAAGACGUGGUUACUUCACGGCAUCCAUGCGUGGAAGUCCAUGUUCAUUUACUCAUGUAUUCAGCAAAAGUGGCCUCCACGGUGUUGUGCUGAGCUGUCCUUUGUCAGCUUGAAAUCACCUUCAUGCACCCCUGCGGGCUUGUGGAGGAGAGGUUGGAACCGUAUGUCCCAGGAUCCCCUUCCCUGUGUGGUUCCAAGUGGGAGUCUGCCAAUGAGAACUACCCAGGUGAGAUUUAGGAGAUGGGGAGAAAAAGAGGCCAUGUAGGCAGUCUAGGCAGAUGCAUGGACAGGUGGCAGACUCAAGCCUUACAGAAGCUUCUGGCAAGCUCCUGUGAGUUACCUGCUUUGUGCUGUAGCCAGUGGAGAUAGUGUGACUAUUUCUGAGUCCUUGAUUGAGUGUUGCCAGCUGAUGGAGGCAGCGGGGGCUUCCUGGAGGUUCUUGACUUUUAGUAGCUUCUUGGGAACCACCUGUUUUCCCUGCUGCAGGCAGGGAUCUUCAGCGAUGCUUAUCGGUUCUUAGCCAGCCAUUCCAAUGAUUGUGCAAACUUCUGAGCGCCUCUAUUCGAACCCUUCCUAUUUGGAACACUUAGAGGUUGGAAGUUUAGAAACUGGAGUGGGGUUGGUCCUGUCAGCCAUUUGACUGCUGCUGACCUCCACAGUCCCGUAGGAUAUCAUCAGAUGGGUCAGAUCCAUCCUUCGACCGGCCUAAUAAUCCCCUUUGACAGCACCAUCUUUGUGAAAGACAGUCUCUCCCUAUCGCGUAAAUCUCAGAGGACUGGAGAAGACACUAAUCUGCUCAGAUUUGACAUCCUUGGACUUAUCAGACCCUUCUUGAACCUGUUUACAUUUUCAGUGUUACCAGCACUUGGGAAAUAGUUCCACUUGCCUUCUCUUAUUUUUCCUCAUCACUGUUGGCUCUCCUGUCAGACUUGGCUGGUAUCACUCUAACAGUUCUUUUGAGACUCCGAGUUAAAUAGACAAAGCAUGGGCAAAUCAGACUUUUUUCUAAGUUUAUACUCUUGCGCCGUAUCUGGGUUAAUUGUGGGACUUACACCCCGAUGUAACAGACAAACACCGCUGUCUCCAAGUUCACUCAACAUGUACCUGAUCGUAUAAAAAUAUCAUCAUCUUAGCUGCUUCACAGAGAAAAAGCAGAGUAGAAGUUCAAACAAAAUAAAUUUUACAGUAGAUGGAAGCAGACUGAGGGAUUAGUUCUGAUUAAUGCUUGCAUAUUUAGUGGAUGCAGGUAGGCUCAGAGAGCCAGCUGGGUCUGUCUCCACCAUCAGUGAAUCCUGCUGCGUGGACCAAGGUCUCUUGUGGUUCAGCAUCAGGUGGGCACUGAUGUUGACAUUCACCUCUGAAGGCCAUGCUUUGUGGCUAACAACCCCCCACUCCUGAUCAACACACGCUUGACACGUUAAAACAUUCAAUCAAGUUGUAGUCAAGUCAUGUUUUAGUCCAUAUUUAGGGCCAGUGUUCUGUUGCAUUACUUUUACGGCCCUACCAGUUUUAAAAAUGUCGAAAAGCUUUCUUCCUAGUGGGUCACCGCCGCUCUGAGUCUUUGUUGUGACAGACUUGAGCUGCACCCCGUGUUGGCCACUUCAGGCCCUGUGACUGUGGGCACUUGACUCUCAUUGGGUCUUAGUGCACUCAUUUAAAAUGGGAUAAUUCAUAGGGUGUUUGUGGAGAUCAAAUGAGGUAAACAUAUAUGCAAAACACAUCAUGCUGAAUUGAUAGCUAAAACCAAAACCACGAAAUAAGCAACUUGCUCUUCAAAUUUCGUAUUCUAAGCAAUGUGAAGGAGAGCUGAGCAGGUGUGCCAGGCCAGUGGCAUGCUUUAUGUUGUGGUAAUUUUCUGUUAGUUUCUGUGAUGGACUUUUAUUUAUGUAUUAGCAUACUGACUGCAGGCCUUCAUGUGUUGUGAAGGUCAUGUCCCAGGAGAAAGGAAAUGGUAUCCAGUGCUUUCCCUUACCACUUCUAGGAAGAGAUGGCCAAGGAGAAUGGACUUUUUAUCCCUAUCCUGUGGCCUGGGAAACCACUCACUUCCUUGGAAAUGGUCCUAGGCCUCCUCAGUUUCCCCAGUGCAGCUGAAUCCUUGCCGGUACCACAGAGACACACAGUAAGGCAGGUGUGAGUCGACCAAGUUGCCACCUGGGCAAGCUCUUCCUCUGGCGGUGAAGCCCCUCCCCCGCCCCCCAGGCUGCAGUCCAUGGCUGCUUACGGAAAUCAGCAACGGGAAACGAUGCCCUUUUAAUAGUAAAGGUUGCAUCGUGUGGUCUUCUGAGUGCCUCUUGAACAGUGAAGCUCGUUUCCUGUACUUUUGUGUUUAGAAUGUAAGAUUCUUGUCUUUAAAGUCCAGGCGACAAAUAAGAGUAACCCCAAAUGCCAGCACAGCUUUGCUUGGCAGAGCCUGCUGAUUGUUGUGCUUCCUUGGGAUUCUAAGGCUCCAGUUAAGGCCUUGAUUGAUUAACAAUAUCCGUAAUGGGUAUGGGAAGGGAUAAGCACAGUGUACCUAUAAUGCAUUUUCCUACCCUACUUUAUAGUCUCUUUGAUUCUUGUGCAGGCAGUAACUUUUUUUUAAGGUACAAGAUGGCAGACUGAAUGAAUUGGAGGAGCUUUUCUUAGGAAAAUGGUAGAAAACAAACUAAAGAGAUACCCAUUCCUAAGCAGAGCGUUCUAUGAUUUCGGAUUAGAGGGUGUAUUGUCGUAUGUGCAGUGUAGGUUCUCUGGUGCUUAUGUCUACAGGCAACGAAAAGAAAAAUAUGUGUUUAAAAUCCAUAAUCAUUAUGCCCUAGCUUUUUUUACCUCUGUCUGCUAAAGUAGGCUAUAUAUGCCUAAAAUUUUCAGUCUUUUUUUUUUUUUUAAACUUUCUUUGGGGGUGUUUGCAUCGUGUUCUCUCCCACAAUGGGAUGCAUUCAUUUCUUCCUUUCCUUACCUCUGUAGCCCUCCGCCUACACUGAUGUGCUGGGAAGCCACUUAAUGGUAUCUUGCUGCUAUAGGUACCCCCGAGAGAAGUUGGAUGUUGGUGCCGAGGAUGCCAUCUCCUGAUGCUCCGAAAGUGUAAAUCCUCCAGGGCUGGUAGAAGUGCUCUUCAGCGGGGAGGUGGCCCCCACCUUCUUCUCUCUGUGUCAUAUUUCGUGUCCUGGGCAUUAAGGCAGCGCUGAACCUGAUGAACCCACAACUUUUGCUUCUGCACGCACACCCUGUCACACAGAAGACUGCUCGCCCAGGGGACUGGCUGAGGUCUAGGGGCCAUGCUGGGCUUCUGUCCCAUGGGUGUGCCCACUGUCUUUCUUGCAAAACUACUUGUGCAAAUUUCCAGUUGAUGGGUCUGUCUCCAAGGGACAUUAGCACUUGGACAGUUACGAGUUUUUGAUGUUUUGGAUCAUGAGUAUUUCAUGAUUUCAGGUUUUCUUCCUAAUUCCUCACAGCCAUUCGAGUAAAAUGUGGUUUUCACAGAGCAUACUGGAAUAGCUGGGGUGUGGAGGAAAGUUUUGACAUUUAGAUUAGACCGUCUUCUUUCAGAUUUCAUUAUAUUCCCUUUUGUUAAUUUCUCCCAUUUGUUAAUUUUUAAUUCAUUCAUGUAUUCAACGUUUAUUGAGCUGCUCUGAUGUACCAGGGAAUAAUAUUGAGUCCUGAACUGAUAAAUAUGAAUACUACAAUCUUGGCCUUCAGAAAGCUUUCACAAUUUUGCAGAGAAUAGGAGAUAAACGUGAACCUGAAAUUCUAUCGAUGAGUGAAAAAUGAAACAUGAAAGCAUUUCUGUCUAGAGAAUAGCCCUAGGGAGGAAAAGAUUAAUCUCAGGUAGAUGAAGGGAAAUAAAUGACUUUAACGUUGCCACCCAGCCCCGGACACUAGUCUCUCUGGGCUGAUGUUGACUUUACCCAGCUCACAGAGGCAUCAUUAGCGAGCACUGGACUGCCAGUACAGUUUAAAAAGUAAAACAACUCUAACAACAUCCUGAGCUGGAGGAAAUCUUAACCGAAAACUGCAAGGAAUAGCUGCCUUGGCAUAAGCUGUGUGGAAUCUUAAAAGGGAGCAGGUUUUGAGGCCAAGAUUUAUGUUCAACAGCUAAUGCUUUAGAGACGGAGUUUAUGUAGAAAAGCUGACUCUGUGUUUGUCCCUUAUGGAUGCAAAUAAGAAGCACAUCUG